AUUGAACGCUGGCGGCAGGCCUAACACAUGCAAGUCGAACGAGUGGCGGACGGGUGAGUAAUGUCUGGGAAACUGCCCGAUGGAGGGGGAUAACUACUGGAAACGGUAGCUAAUACCGCAUACCAUCGGAUGUGCCCAGAUGGGAUUAGCUUGUAGGUAAGGUAACGGCUCACCUAGGCGACGAUGCCUAGCUGGUCGGAGAGGAUGACCAGCUCCACUGGAACUGAGGCACGGUGCAGACUCCGACGGGAGGCAGCAGGGGGGAAUAUGGCACAAUGGGCGCAAGCCUGAUGCAGCCAUGCCGCGUGUAUGCAGAAGGCCUUCAGGUUGUAAAGUACUUUCAGCGGGGAGGCGUUACCCGCAGAAGAAGCACCGGCUAACUCCGUGCCAGCAGCCGCGGUAAUAC
RNAcentral lists this ribosomal RNA (406 nucleotides) under uncultured bacterium. RNAcentral's name for it is "partial 16S ribosomal RNA". It matches the Rfam family "Bacterial small subunit ribosomal RNA", at positions 29 to 526 of the family's 1533-position model. The record is from RNAcentral.